This is an RNA transcript of Juglans regia (Persian walnut), 603 nucleotides long. RefSeq lists it as uncharacterized. Lineage: Eukaryota; Viridiplantae; Streptophyta; Magnoliopsida; Fagales; Juglandaceae. The record is from RefSeq and is a predicted model, not a curated record. The transcript is spliced from 5 exons.
UGAUCUAUCGGUAGUUCUUUUUCUUCUCCUCUCUUCACCUCAUGCCACUGCAACCAUUGUGUUUCGACCUUGAAGCCAUCUAGGGAGAUCUUCAGCCACCAUCUCAGUUGCAAUUUCCCUCUUCAUUUGCAGCUUGGAUCUUCACUCUAUAAGGCUGGAACUUUGGCUUAAAUUCCAUUCUCUAGAAGACAAGUUCAGUUAGGUUUGUAACGAGGUGAGGGGAAGGUAGAAACAAGCAUAGUUCGUGCAACCUACUGCUUGAAAAGGCAUUUUCCUAUUAUUGAUGAAACUAUAAGAAAGGCAAGGAAGAUAGUGAAGUUCAUCUAUAACCAUGCUUUGGUUUUGGCAUUGAUGAGAAGAGAUUUCACCAAAGGUCGUGAUUUCUGUCGUCCUACAAUCAUAAGAAACAUAAAAAAGGGAAUAGAUGUUUUGGAUCCAAUCAACCUUGAAAACAUUGACUUGAUGGAUUGGGCAAGUUUUGAGGAGCCAUUGGACUCACUAAAUGUAGAAAACAAUGAUAAUGUUAGUCUUGAUGUUGAUGAUGGUGGUGACGUUGGCAAAAAUAUUUUGAUUAACAUUUCGAAUGUCAAUCCUUAUUUAUGA